UUUUCGGCAAUGGGGGGAACCCUGACCGAGCAACGCCGCGUGAAGGAAGAAGGAGUUCGUUGUGUAAACUUCUGUUAUAAAGGAAGAAAGACGGAUGGAGGAAAUGACAUCCGAGUGACGGUACUCUAUGAGAAAGCCACGGCUAACUACGCGCCAGCAGCCGCGGUAAUACGUAGGUGGCAAGCGUUAUCCGGAAUUAUUGGGCGUAAAGAGGGAGAAGGCGGCAGAAAAGGUCUGUGGUGAAAGACUGAAGCUUAACUUCAGUAAGCCAUGGAAACCGGGCAGCUAGAGUGCAGGAGAGGAUCGUGGAAUUCCAUGUGUAGCGGUGAAAUGCGUAGAUAUAUGGAGGAACACCAGUGGCGAAGGCGACGAUCUGGCCUGCAACUGACGCUCAGUCCCGAAAGCGUGGGGAGCAAAUAG
RNAcentral lists this ribosomal RNA (420 nucleotides) under uncultured bacterium. RNAcentral describes it as "bacterial SSU rRNA". It matches the Rfam family "Bacterial small subunit ribosomal RNA", at positions 362 to 775 of the family's 1533-position model. The record is from RNAcentral.